Molecule: ribosomal RNA, 253 nt
Filed under: uncultured bacterium
Lineage: Bacteria
Description: partial 16S ribosomal RNA
Rfam family: Bacterial small subunit ribosomal RNA
Source: RNAcentral
UACGUAGGUGGCGAGCGUUGUCCGGAUUUACUGGGCGUAAAGGGAGCGUAGGCGGGCUUUUAAGUGAGAUGUGAAAUACUCGGGCUCAACUUGAGUGCUGCAUUUCAAACUGGAAGUCUAGAGUGCAGGAGUGGAGAAUGGAAUUCCUAGUGUAGCGGUGAAAUGCGUAGAGAUUAGGAAGAACACCAGUGGCGAAGGCGAUUCUCUGGACUGUAACUGACGCUGAGGCUCGAAAGCGUGGGGAGCAAACAGG